RNAcentral lists this ribosomal RNA (465 nucleotides) under uncultured Klebsiella sp. Its description in RNAcentral is "bacterial SSU rRNA". It matches the Rfam family "Bacterial small subunit ribosomal RNA", at positions 338 to 795 of the family's 1533-position model. Lineage: Bacteria; Pseudomonadati; Pseudomonadota; Gammaproteobacteria; Enterobacterales; Enterobacteriaceae. The record is from RNAcentral.
CCUACGGGAGGCAGCAGUGGGGAAUAUUGCACAAUGGGCGCAAGCCUGAUGCAGCCAUGCCGCGUGUGUGAAGAAGGCCUUCGGGUUGUAAAGCACUUUCAGCGGGGAGGAAGGCGUUAAGGUUAAUAACCUUGGCGAUUGACGUUACCCGCAGAAGAAGCACCGGCUAACUCCGUGCCAGCAGCCGCGGUAAUACGGAGGGUGCAAGCGUUAAUCGGAAUUACUGGGCGUAAAGCGCACGCAGGCGGUCUGUCAAGUCGGAUGUGAAAUCCCCGGGCUCAACCUGGGAACUGCAUUCGAAACUGGCAGGCUAGAGUCUUGUAGAGGGGGGUAGAAUUCCAGGUGUAGCGGUGAAAUGCGUAGAGACCUGGAGGAAUACCGGUGGCGAAGGCGGCCCCCUGGACAAAGACUGACGCUCAGGUGCGAAAGCGUGGGGAGCAAACAGGAUUAGAUACCCCAGGAGUC